This 73-nucleotide transfer RNA is filed under the name candidate division Zixibacteria bacterium RBG_16_43_9. Its description in RNAcentral is "tRNA-Thr". It matches the Rfam family "tRNA". From Rfam's summary of the family: Transfer RNA (tRNA) molecules are approximately 80 nucleotides in length. Their secondary structure includes four short double-helical elements and three loops (D, anti-codon, and T loops). Further hydrogen bonds mediate the characteristic L-shaped molecular structure. tRNAs have two regions of fundamental functional importance: the anti-codon, which is responsible for specific mRNA codon recognition, and the 3' end, to which the tRNAs corresponding amino acid is attached (by aminoacyl-tRNA synthetases). tRNAs cope with the degeneracy of the genetic code in two manners: having more than one tRNA (with a specific anti-codon) for a particular amino acid; and 'wobble' base-pairing, i.e. permitting non-standard base-pairing at the 3rd anti-codon position. RNAcentral also lists the same sequence under 1 other name. Lineage: Bacteria; Pseudomonadati; Candidatus Zixiibacteriota. The record is from RNAcentral.
GCCACCGUAGCUCAGAUGGCAGAGCAGCUGAUUCGUAAUCAGCCGGUCACCCGUUCGAUUCGGGUCGGUGGCU